This 529-nucleotide ribosomal RNA is filed under the name uncultured bacterium. Its description in RNAcentral is "bacterial SSU rRNA". It matches the Rfam family "Bacterial small subunit ribosomal RNA", at positions 8 to 523 of the family's 1533-position model. The record is from RNAcentral.
AGAGUUUGAUCCUGGCUCAGAACGAACGCUAGCGGCGCGCCUAACACAUGCAAGUCGAGCGAGAAAGGGGCAACCUGAGUAAAGCGGCGCACGGGUGAGUAACACGUGGGUAACGUACCCUCGGGUGGGGAAUAACGGGCCGAAAGGCUCGCUAAUACCGCAUCAGACCACAACCCUUGCGGGGGAAGGGGUCAAGGGAGGCUGUCGCAGGGCAGUUUCCGCCUGAGGAUCGGCUCGCGGACCAUUAGCUAGAUGGCGGGGUAAUGGCCCACCAUGGCGACGAUGGUUAGCUGGUCUGAGAGGACGACCAGCCACACUGGAACUGAAACACGGUCCAGACUCCUACGGGAGGCAGCAGUGGGGAAUAUUGCGCAAUGGGCGAAAGCCUGACGCAGCGACGCCGCGUGAGUGAAGAAGGCCUUCGGGUUGUAAAGCUCUGUCAGAGGGAAAGAAUACUCCUGGUAACCCCAGUAGUUGACGGUACCCUUGAAGGAAGCACUGGCUAACUUCGUGCCAGCAGCCGCGGUAA